RNAcentral lists this ribosomal RNA (309 nucleotides) under uncultured bacterium. Its description in RNAcentral is "partial 16S ribosomal RNA". It matches the Rfam family "Bacterial small subunit ribosomal RNA", at positions 504 to 808 of the family's 1533-position model. The record is from RNAcentral.
AGAGACAGCAGCAGCCGCGGUAAUACAGAGGGUGCAAGCGUUAAUCGGAAUUACUGGGCGUAAAGCGCGCGUAGGUGGUUUGUUAAGUUGGAUGUGAAAUCCCCGGGCUCAACCUGGGAACUGCAUCCAAAACUGGCAAGCUAGAGUAUGGUAGAGGGUGGUGGAAUUUCCUGUGUAGCGGUGAAAUGCGUAGAUAUAGGAAGGAACACCAGUGGCGAAGGCGACCACCUGGACUGAUACUGACACUGAGGUGCGAAAGCGUGAGGAGCAAACAGGAUUAGAUACCCGCGUAGUCCCUGUCUCUUUACC